ACGAACGCUGGCGGCGUGCUUAACACAUGCAAGUCGAACGGAAAGACCCUGCUUUUGUGGGGUGCUCGAGUGGCGAACGGGUGAGUAACACGUGAGUAACCUGCCCUUGACUUUGGGAUAACUUCAGGAAACUGGGGCUAAUACCGGAUAGGAGCUCCUGCUGCAUGGUGGGGGUUGGAAAGUUUCGGCGGUUGGGGAUGGACUCGCGGCUUAUCAGCUUGUUGGUGGGGUAGUGGCUUACCAAGGCUUUGACGGGUAGCCGGCCUGAGAGGGUGACCGGCCACAUGGGGACUGAGAUACGGCCCAGACUCCUACGGGAGGCAGCAGUGGGGAAUAUUGCACAAUGGGCGGAAGCCUGAUGCAGAAACGCCGCGUGCGGGAUGACGGCCUUCGGGUUGUAAACCGCUUUCGCCUGUGACGAAGCGUGAGUGACGGUAAUGGGUAAAGAAGCACCGGCUAACUACGUG
Molecule: ribosomal RNA, 467 nt
Filed under: uncultured bacterium
Lineage: Bacteria
Description: partial 16S ribosomal RNA
Rfam family: Bacterial small subunit ribosomal RNA
Source: RNAcentral